Molecule: ribosomal RNA, 921 nt
Filed under: uncultured organism
Description: bacterial SSU rRNA
Rfam family: Bacterial small subunit ribosomal RNA
Source: RNAcentral
UGGAUCCAGACUUUGAUUUGGCUCAGGAUGAACGCUAGCUACAGGCUUAACACAUGCAAGUCGAGGGGCAGCAUGACGAUAGCUUGCUAUUGUUGAUGGCGACCGGCGCACGGGUGAGUAACGCGUAUCCAACCUUCCCGUUGCUAGGGGAUAACCUUGCGAAAGUAAGACUAAUACCCUAUGAUGUUCUUCGCAGGCAUCUAAAGAGAACCAAAGAUUUAUCGGCAACGGAUGGGGAUGCGUCUGAUUAGGUUGUUGGCGGGGUAACGGCCCACCAAGCCUACGAUCAGUAGGGGUUCUGAGAGGAAGGUCCCCCACAUUGGAACUGAGACACGGUCCAAACUCCUACGGGAGGCAGCAGUGAGGAAUAUUGGUCAAUGGACGGAAGUCUGAACCAGCCAAGUAGCGUGCAGGACGACGGCCCUAUGGGUUGUAAACUGCUUUUAUGUGGGAAUAAAGUGAGGGACGUGUCCCUUUUUGUAGGUACCACAUGAAUAAGGACCGGCUAAUUCCGUGCCAGCAGCCGCGGUAAUACGGAAGGUCCGGGCGUUAUCCGGAUUUAUUGGGUUUAAAGGGAGCGUAGGCCGUCUUUUAAGCGUGUUGUGAAAUACUGUCGCUCAACGACAGAGGUGCAGCGCGAACUGGGAGACUUGAGUGCGCGGAAUGCAGGCGGAAUUCGUCGUGUAGCGGUGAAAUGCUUAGAUAUGACGAAGAACUCCGAUUGCGAAGGCAGCUUGCAGUAGCGUAACUGACGCUGAAGCUCGAAAGUGCGGGUAUCGAACAGGAUUAGAUACCCUGGUAGUCCGCACGGUAAACGAUGGAUGCUCGCUGUGUGCCCCUGGGUACGCGGCCAAGCGAAAGCGUUAAGCAUCCCACCUGGGGAGUACGCCGGCAACGGUGCAACUCAAAGGAAUUGACGGA